CUACGGGCUGCUCCAGUGGGGAAUCUUAGACAAUGGGCGCAAGCCUGAUCUAGCCAUGCCGCGUGAGUGACGAAGGCCUUAGGGUCGUAAAGCUCUUUCGCUGGGGAAGAUAAUGACGGUACCCAGUAAAGAAACCCCGGCUAACUCCGUGCCAGCAGCCGUGGUAAUACGGAGGGGGUUAGCGUUGUUCGGAAUUACUGGGCGUAAAGCGCGCGUAGGCGGAUCAGAAAGUUGGGGGUGAAAUCCCGGGGCUCAACCCCGGAACUGCCUUCAAAACUCCUGGUCUUGAGUUCGAGAGAGGUGAGUGGAAUUCCGAGUGUAGAGGUGAAAUUCGUAGAUAUUCGGAGGAACACCAGUGGCGAAGGCGGCUCACUGGCUCGAUACUGAUGCUGAGGUGCGAAAGCGUGGGGAGCAAACAGGAUUAGAUACCCCAGUAGUC
Molecule: ribosomal RNA, 439 nt
Filed under: uncultured bacterium
Lineage: Bacteria
Description: partial 16S ribosomal RNA
Rfam family: Bacterial small subunit ribosomal RNA
Source: RNAcentral